GAACGCACAUUGCGCCCCUUGGUAUUCCGAGGGGCAUGCCUAUUCGAGCGUCAUUAUCACCCCUCAAGCUCCGGCUUGGUGUUGAGGCCUGCUGUAAAGGCACCCUCUAAAAUCAGUGGCAGUGCCGUCAGGCUCUAAGCGUAGUAAUUUCAUCGCUAUAGACCCGGGCGGACCCUCGCCAGAAACCCCCCAUUUUUUAAUGAUUGACCUCGGAUUAGGUAGGGAUACCCGCUGAACUUAAG
This 242-nucleotide unclassified non-coding RNA is filed under the name uncultured Tetracladium. Its description in RNAcentral is "sequence contains 5.8S rRNA gene". The stretch from base 1 to 53 matches the Rfam family "5.8S ribosomal RNA", at positions 102 to 154 of the family's 154-position model. The record is from RNAcentral. Lineage: Eukaryota; Fungi; Ascomycota.